Molecule: ribosomal RNA, 916 nt
Filed under: uncultured archaeon
Lineage: Archaea
Description: SSU rRNA
Rfam family: Archaeal small subunit ribosomal RNA
Source: RNAcentral
UUCCGGUUGAUCCUGCCGGACCUGACUGCUAUCGGAUUGAUACUAAGCCAUGCGAGUCUUUGUAGUAAUACAAGGCAGACGGCUCAGUAACACGUAGUCAACCUACCCUAUGGACGAGAAUAAUCUCGGGAAACUGAGCAUAAUUCUUGAUAGAUCAUAAUGCCUGGAAUGGUUUAUGGUUAAAAUGAUUCGUCGCCAUAGGAUGGGACUGCGGCCUAUCAGCUUGUUGGUGAGGUAAUGGCCCACCAAGGCGAUUACAGGUACGGGCUCUGAGAGGAGAAGCCCGGAGAUGGGUACUGAGACACGGACCCAGGCCCUAUGGGGCGCAGCAGGCGAGAAAACUUUGCAAUGUGCGAAAGCACGACAAGGUUAAUCCGAGUGAUUUCUGCUAAAGAAAUCUUUUGCCAGUCGUAAAACCGCUGGUGAAUAAGGGGUGGGCAAGUUCUGGUGUCAGCCGCCGCGGUAAAACCAGCACCUCAAGUGGUCAGGAUGAUUAUUGGGCCUAAAGCAUCCGUAGCCUGCUUUGUAAGUUUUCGGUUAAAUCCAUGUGCUCAACGCAUGGGCUGCCGAAAAUACUGCAUAGCUAGGGAGUGGGAGAGGUAGACGGUACUCAGUAGGUAGGGGUAAAAUCCUUUGAUCUAUUGAUGACCACCUGUGGCGAAGGCGGUCUACCAGAACACGUUCGACGGUGAGGGAUGAAAGCUGGGGGAGCAAACCGGAUUAGAUACCCGGGUAGUCCCAGCUGUAAACGAUGCAGACUCGAUGAUGCAUUGGCAUAAUAGCCAUUGCAGUGUCGCAGGGAAGCCGUUAAGUCUGCCGCCUGGGAAGUACGUACGCAAGUAUGAAACUUAAAGGAAUUGGCGGGGGAGCAUCACAAGGGGUGAAGCCUGCGGUUCAAUUGGAGUCAACGCCGGGA